GGGAGUGUAGCUCAGUUGGUAGAGCACCUGGCUGGCUACCAGGGCUUUGCGGGGGUUCGAGUCCCUCCACUCCCG
This 75-nucleotide transfer RNA is filed under the name Candidatus Altarchaeales archaeon. RNAcentral describes it as "tRNA-Ala". It matches the Rfam family "tRNA". Rfam says of the family: Transfer RNA (tRNA) molecules are approximately 80 nucleotides in length. Their secondary structure includes four short double-helical elements and three loops (D, anti-codon, and T loops). Further hydrogen bonds mediate the characteristic L-shaped molecular structure. tRNAs have two regions of fundamental functional importance: the anti-codon, which is responsible for specific mRNA codon recognition, and the 3' end, to which the tRNAs corresponding amino acid is attached (by aminoacyl-tRNA synthetases). tRNAs cope with the degeneracy of the genetic code in two manners: having more than one tRNA (with a specific anti-codon) for a particular amino acid; and 'wobble' base-pairing, i.e. permitting non-standard base-pairing at the 3rd anti-codon position. The record is from RNAcentral. Lineage: Archaea; Nanobdellati; Candidatus Altarchaeota; Candidatus Altarchaeia; Candidatus Altarchaeales.